RNAcentral lists this ribosomal RNA (1888 nucleotides) under Triticum aestivum (bread wheat). Its description in RNAcentral is "partial small subunit ribosomal RNA". The record is from RNAcentral. Lineage: Eukaryota; Viridiplantae; Streptophyta; Magnoliopsida; Poales; Poaceae.
UUCCUUCCUGCUGUUUUAGACAAGUGGUGGAACGGCGAACACCAGAGAGCGAGGAGGGCACACGCACGCCGCAACGCAGUGAGUAGGUAGGUAGGAGUGGGGGCGAAUGGGUAGGACGAAGACGGAGUGAGCUAAGUCAAGUUCAAAGGUCGUGGCCGGUGGCCCUUCGUCGCCCCGCGCGUCACCCUUUCUUCCUUGCGGCGUUCUCUUCUCUUCCCGCGACGCUGGCGCGACGAGCGGCGCCGUCUCUAGGCCGCCGCCGCGAGCUUAGCUGCCGGUACUACUCUCACUUCUUCUAUAAACCAAAGAGGCAUAGAGAGUAGGAGUAGUUAGACCGAAGAUAAUACCUCGCACGACUACUCUUAGAAGAAGGUCGUCAAAUGUUCCUUCAGCCACGUCGGAAGUUACGACCAGGGUGACUGGACCCUAUGGAAUUAAAACAUUACUUGAAAGAAUUCAGCUAUCGUAGCGGGAACCGGCCGUAGGAACGAGAAGUGAUACUAGCGGGUCGUCACGAACGUUAUCCUUGACAGAAGACCCGGAAUAGUUGUCCCCGACAACCACAAUCGGUCGUAAAAGUCGUCCAACGUAAGACCUCUCGAUAUUUACCGGAACCUGAACGGUAACAUUAUGGUCGUGAAGUCAGCAAGUAUCGCCUAUCGAUGUUUCUACCAUGUGCGCCUCGACCCAAACCAAACAAUUCGGAGUAGCCACGUCAUCCUCCAUAUCCACCAUCAUAACACCGUUGUGAGUACCGACCCUUCCUGAUGACCCCUAACGGGCCCACCGCAGAACGAAAAUAAUACCAACGCGAACAGUCGAAGUAUUAACCUUAAGAACAGAUGAACAUAACAUGACUAGGUUCUUCUUAGGGACCUUUAGUAGAAGAACUACUGCUGCUGAUGCUCUCCAGUGUAGACAGGUCGUUUCUACAAGAAGGAGGCUGGAGAUAGACCUACCUAAGAACCCAUCGUUACUUCUCACAGUACUUUCACUUCUGUAAAGUCUAGUAACACAACGUCCCCUAUUAACCGAGUAACGGGACCUGGCGGUAUCAAAAGAAGUGGUACACCAAACUUGAGUAACCAAAACUGUUAUCCUCAAGACGUCGUAACUUGUCGGAUAAGCGGUAACCCACGCGGUCACCUCGAGAGGAACCACCACAUGAUCGUCUGGCGGACAGUGCCGUGAUAGGGCUAAGACGUGCGUAGUACACGCGAGUCAAAUCGCGGAAGUACCCGUAAGGAAAGAGUACCUAGGAAGAAUGUCAGUAAGGAGUCAGUUGACUGAUGACCAAACGGAUGCGGCAGUGUGAGAAGAAGUACCCAUAGUGGUAGUCGACCACACGAUGAAGGCGUUUGUUGGGGUACAAGCGCCUCCAUCAGGGAGGGUUCGUGGCGUGGUACUAGAUGCGGAAGCUGGCCCGAAAACUCCCAAGUAAGCGGAGUGACCGGCGAGGACGACAACCGAACCAGUGACUCUUCUAUAUACCGAUGCUGCGGUUCUGACAUUUGUAGCGUUUGCCUAGUCGUGUUCCCCGCAUACGCGACAGCUCUCCCGAUGAUUGGUACUACUAGGAAGGAAAACCAUAAACACAGGACAAGAUGUCGGGAAACAUGGAACACAAGUUCGUGCUGUCUCUGUUACGGUUCCAUCGGUCUAAGUUCCUGGUCCUCGAUUAGACUUUUAUUUUUAUAAAGACGUCACUACAAAGACUAUUCCUAAGCUCGAAUAAACACUUACAAAACCAACAUUUAGCCUCGUUUUCUGUUAUAUACGAUAGUCCCUUUACACUACGAUCAAGAUUGUUUCACGGUUGUAGUGAUCUAUUAGACUCGUGUAACACAUGAACAUGUGCUAUUGAAUUUGACGAUAGAAUAUCUUGAAG